RNAcentral lists this ribosomal RNA (351 nucleotides) under Corticaria sp. NPL-2007. RNAcentral's name for it is "partial 12S ribosomal RNA". The record is from RNAcentral. Lineage: Eukaryota; Metazoa; Arthropoda; Insecta; Coleoptera; Latridiidae.
UAUAAAUGUAAAUGUUUACCAAAUUAUUAAUAGUUAUGUUCUUGAAAAUUAAAGAUUUUGGCGGUAUUUUAGUCUUUUCAGAGGAACCUGUUCUGUAAUCGAUAGUCCACGAUUAAUUGUACUUAUUUUAAUUAAUUUGUAUAUCGUCGUAGUUGAAUAUUUUAAAAGAAAAAUAAUAUUCAAGAUUUUUUAUAAUAAAAUAAAUCAGAUCAAGGUGCAGUUUAUAAAUAAGAAGAAAUGGGUUACAAUAAAUUUAUUUAAUAUGGUUUUUUUAAUUAAAAUUGAUUAAUAAAGUGGAUUUGAAAGUAAUUAAAAUUAUUUAAUUUUAAUGAUUUUAGCUCUAAAAUAUGC